RNAcentral lists this long non-coding RNA (978 nucleotides) under Fukomys damarensis (Damara mole-rat). RNAcentral describes it as "lncRNA (ENSFDAG00000029459.1)". Lineage: Eukaryota; Metazoa; Chordata; Mammalia; Rodentia; Bathyergidae. The record is from RNAcentral.
GCCUGAGGCUCACAGAGAAACUUUGAGGACCCAGGAGCCUUUCUAGAGCCUAGGGAAGGUGGUCCGGCCUGAGGGGGUCCAUCCUCCCAGCACAGGCCCUGCACUGGGCAGGUCUACAAUCCUGAUCUGUCUAGCAUGCCCAUUGCUCAGAUGGAGAAACUGAAGUACACAGGGAUUAAGCUUCCUGCCUGCGAGUUUGCAAACCCUUAAUGGCUGGAGGGAGGGGUGUUUUGUGGGUGUGGUGGGGAGCAAGAUGUACAGCUGGGACCUGAAGACCAAGUGGCAGCUUGCUCACAAGCAGCUCAGAAAAGGCCGCUGAACCUUGCUGGAAACCUGGCCUCAGCACUUCCAUACAGAUGAAGACACUGAGCCCAGAGGGGCUGAGGACCCCAUCCAAGGCCAGCACAAUGCCAGCUGGAGUAGAGACAGGUACCUCUUCCGGAGUGGAAGUUGCUCUGGGCCCAGAGCUGGGAUGAAGGUUUGGACCCAGAUCUCUUCUACGCCAGACACAGCCAGGACACAGCCAGGACACAGUCACUCGAUCAAGCAACACCGUUCCUCUAACAAAGCAGCUAAGCCUGUUAUCUGCCUCUCCCGUCAGCUGGGAGAAGGACUUGUGUGCAGCAGAGGAACCCAAGGCUCAGAGAGACCGGUGAACUCACCCGAGGUCACACAUUCCGAAAGGAACCAGCCUAGUCACUGCCCCAUAGGGCUCCGCACUUCUCCUCAUAGUCCUUGGGGUCCCACACAAGUACUCUCCUCAGAGGCCCCCAAACCAGGGCGAGCACCUUGCCAAAGCUCUGAUCUCCCUUUCUCCCUGGUGACACUGACCAUAGCUGCAGGUUACCGGAAAGUAUCCAGGCCCAGCGCUGAGCCCACAAUAGGUGCCAGACUUCCAGCCAGACCCUGCCAAGAGUACCUACCAUGUGAACCCGAAGGCCUGGGCUGGCCAAAGCCAGGAGCCAACUUGGAGCUCGU